GAUGAACGCUGGCGGCGUGCCUCAAACAUGCAAGUCGAGCGAGGCUAUGAGUUACCGCAAGGUAAGGCAUAGCCUAGCGGCGAACGGGUGAGUAACACGUGGGUAACCUACCUGGAAGACAGGGAUAACGAUUCGAAAGGGUCGCUAAUACCUGAUAAUAUCCAUCUGCCGGAUGGCGGAGGGAAGAAAGGGGAAACCCGCUUUCAGAUGGGCCCGCGUCCCAUCAGCUAGUUGGUAAGGUAAAGGCUUACCAAGGCGACGACGGGUAGCCGGUCUGAGAGGAUGUACGGCCACACUGGGACUGAGAUACGGCCCAGACUCCUACGGGAGGCAGCAGUUGGGAAUCUUAGGCAAUGGACGAAAGUCUGACCUAGCGACGCCGCGUGAGGGAAGAAGGCCUUCGGGUUGUAAACCGUCUGUCAUGGGGAAGAAGGAAGUGACGGUACCCCAAGAGGAAGCCCCUGCUAACUACGUGCCAGCGAGCCGCGGUAAACAUACUCGUA
This 503-nucleotide ribosomal RNA is filed under the name uncultured bacterium. RNAcentral's name for it is "bacterial SSU rRNA". It matches the Rfam family "Bacterial small subunit ribosomal RNA", at positions 28 to 529 of the family's 1533-position model. The record is from RNAcentral.